UACGUAGGGACCGAGCGUUGUCCGGAUUCAUUGGGCGUAAAGAGCUCGUAGGCGGCUGUUCAAGUCGAACGUGAAAACUCGGAGCUCAACUCCGAGCCUGCGUUCGAUACUGGACGGCUAGAGUCUGGUAGGGGGAUCUGGAAUUCCUGGUGUAGCGGUGAAAUGCGCAGAUAUCAGGAGGAACACCAGCGGCGAAGGCGGUGCUCUGGGCCGGAACUGACGCUGAGGAGCGAAAGCGUGGGUAGCGAACAGG
Molecule: ribosomal RNA, 253 nt
Filed under: uncultured bacterium
Lineage: Bacteria
Description: partial 16S ribosomal RNA
Rfam family: Bacterial small subunit ribosomal RNA
Source: RNAcentral